GCCCGUUACAAUUUUAUGAACCCACGUUUUCCUUCAAUCAGCGUACAGUUCUCCCCUCCUUCCUCCAGGGUUAGAUCCAGGGAAGACAACUAGAUCGCUCCCACUUCUUCCUCUUGCCUCCUCUGUGCUUGGAUCUAUGUUUCCCCACCCCCAAUGCUGAUCCUUCUCGCCUCGAUGUCCAAGAGCUCCGAUAUGUCGUCCACCGAGCCCCGGUGCUCAGAUCACAACACGUGCGUGUCCUCACUCUCUCUAUUCGCUUACGCGUCCGAAUUUGAUGAGCUCGGCCGGGGUGGCUGGCUGUGGUGGGGGCGCAGAUGCCAAAGGAUUUGGCGGGCGUAGCAGGGUGUCGUUCCCACGGGCAUCCCUGGAUCAGGAUUGUGGAAGUGAGUGCCAUGGGGCAGGAGCUAGACGUGAAGGUGCCAUUGCUGCAUGAUGAGGGUGUGGAUUCCAUGAAAGCAUAUGACUGAAUUGAGCUUCUUCUAAGCAUUUUUUUAUGAUGGGGCAUUCAAAGCUGGUGAAUUGGACUAGAUAUUGAGUUUACAGGAGCAGUCAGGGAUAAUAUGCAUGGUUCUGUAAUUAGUGUGGAAACCUGAGCAAGACGUAAGGCGUGUUUCUAAAAAUGUUCUUAGGACCAGUAAAUCUACGGACAACAAGGAAGAUUGUGCAACAGAAGGUGAAGGAGGAUAGAAGGCAGAAGGGGGAUGGACGGGCGACAACGACAUUGGUGCGGCGAUAAAGUUGGUGAGCACAGAAGGGGAGCUAGGUGUGCCAGUGACACUGGGGCAACACAGAAGGGGGCAGGCGACAAAGUCAGGGUGAGUACAAUAAGGGUACGGCGACGACGGAGUCGAGCGCUUCUACCUUGUGUCGAUCCGAUACAACGAUAAUAGAACAGAAGUGGAAUUGGAUUGUUUUAGAGAGUUGUGGAGUUGGAUUGUUUGGCGGGAUGGUGGAUGUGUGCUGUAUUUUUGUCUUCACGUAUUUAUUAUUUAUUUCAAUUCUCAUCAUAUUCAGUAUAUAUAUAAGAAGACAAAAAUUGAGGUGGGGCCACGGCCCUCUUUGCCCACCCCGUGCAUCCGCCCCUGCUUGCCAUAUAGUUUUUUAUGAAGUGACCAGCUAUCUGAUUCUUGUUCCCUGUAUGUGUCACCGGGAAAGUGUCCACUGGCGAAGGAGACAUCUGGAAACUGGAAUCAUGUAGCCUCUGUUCUGCAAGGUCGCUAAAUCCCUUCCUGGACUGUAUGCGCCUUCACCAGCAAAGCAGGAAGACAUGGCCUACAUAAACCUCAGACCUGCUAGCAGGAUGUUGGCUUCAGGCAGCUGUGCAACAGCUGAGUUGAAAUCAAAUGGUUGCUCCAUUGAGACUUGGACAUUUUUGUGUUUAGAGAAUGUUUGAUGAUUUAUGCUUCAA
Molecule: long non-coding RNA, 1408 nt
Organism: Zea mays
Lineage: Eukaryota; Viridiplantae; Streptophyta; Magnoliopsida; Poales; Poaceae
Exons: 4
Source: RefSeq, a predicted model, not a curated record